Molecule: long non-coding RNA, 911 nt
Organism: Hypanus sabinus (Atlantic stingray)
Lineage: Eukaryota; Metazoa; Chordata; Chondrichthyes; Myliobatiformes; Dasyatidae
Exons: 5
Source: RefSeq, a predicted model, not a curated record
UCUCUGGAGUGAACCUUCUUGUUCAAAGAAAAAAUAUAUAUCCAGUGAGUCACAAUUGACGAUUAAAAUGUUGGGAAUGUGUUAUCACAGGAACUGCAAAGAUUCAAGAAGAAGCUUAUUACUACCUUCUCAGAGCAAUCAGAGAUGAAAUGUUUCUUCCAUAUCUAAGUCCAUAACCUAAGAAGGGAAGAAAGACAGCAGUAACUUGGAUAAUUAUUCAACUGGACAUCCACUAAUCAGGCUUUCUCUGCAGGAUUGCUGGAGGGUCUCAGGAUGGAAUCUACUGAAAGUGGAUGUCUGGGAUCAGUCAGGAAAUCAGAAAUCCCGAUUUCUGUGGAGAAGUGUGUUUGUUUGUCACACGGUGGGAGAGCGAAUCUUGCCUUUAGUGGAAGUAUAAAGAGCCAGGAGUUACUGAAUAAAAAGAAGGGGCCAUCUGUUUAGGAUGAAUCGUGGGAGCCUCUACUCUGUGAUACAACACACGUGAUGACAUCCAACGCCAGUGCUGGCUGCCCAGGGGAUACUAAAUAAGCAACUGCUUUCAGCCCUCCUGAACUGAACUGAACUAUGACAGGAGGUCUUGACUACAGAAAGCUGCCUGAACAAGACAACAUUUUCAAAAAUAUACCUGCUUCUCUCAUCAACCCCGCAUUACUGAGUGUGUAUGGUGAGCAGGUAUACACCUAGAAAUACAGACGUGACGGUAAUCCAAACAGAAGUAAAUAAAACAGCGGACGUUUUUCACAGUAUUCAAAGCUUACAACAUUCUAUGGUUCCAAAUCCCACCAUUUGGAAAUUAAUGAUUUUAAUCUUAUAAUUCAUGUGGUACGUUCCAGUUGAGGCCAACCGUGCUGAGGGAGUCACUGAAGCUUGGAGCACACACCACAAAGAUUAUGUGGGGAAGGAACACAGGC